GGGGUAUUAGCUCAGCUGGGAGAGUGCCUGGUUCGCAAUCAGGAGGUCAGGGGUUCGAUCCCCCUAUGCUCCA
RNAcentral lists this transfer RNA (73 nucleotides) under Lachnospiraceae bacterium. Its description in RNAcentral is "tRNA-Ala". It matches the Rfam family "tRNA". Rfam says of the family: Transfer RNA (tRNA) molecules are approximately 80 nucleotides in length. Their secondary structure includes four short double-helical elements and three loops (D, anti-codon, and T loops). The record is from RNAcentral. RNAcentral also lists the same sequence under 1 other name. Lineage: Bacteria; Bacillati; Bacillota; Clostridia; Lachnospirales; Lachnospiraceae.